RNAcentral lists this ribosomal RNA (421 nucleotides) under uncultured bacterium. RNAcentral describes it as "bacterial SSU rRNA". It matches the Rfam family "Bacterial small subunit ribosomal RNA", at positions 362 to 775 of the family's 1533-position model. The record is from RNAcentral.
UAUUUGACAAUGGGGGCAACCCUUAUCCAGCCAUGCCGCGUGUGUGAAGAAGGCCUUUCGGUUGUAAAGAACUUUAAGCAGUGAAGAAGACUCUUUGGUUAAUACCCAUAGACGAUGGCAUUAGCUGCAGAAUAAGCACCGGCUAACUCUGUGCCAGCAGCCGCGGUAAUACAGAGGGUGCAAGCGUUAAUCGGAAUUACUGGGCGUAAAGCGAGCGUAGGUGGCUUAAUAAGUCAGAUGUGAAAUCCCCGGGCUUAACCUGGGAACUGCAUCUGAUACUGUUGGGCUAGAGUAGGUGAGAGGGAGGUAGAAUUUCAGGUGUAGCGGUGAAAUGCGUAGAGAUCUGAAAGAAUACCGAUGGCGAAGGCAGCCUCCUGGCAUCAUACUGACACUGAGGUUCGAAAGCGUGGGUAGCAAACAG